CGUAGGGUGCAAGCGUUAAUCGGAAUUACUGGGCGUAAAGCGUGCGCAGGCGGCUUUGCAGGACAGAUGUGAAAUCCCCGGGCAUAACCUGGGAACUGCAUUUGUGACUGCAAGGCUAGAGUACGGCAGAGGGGGAUGGAAUUCCGCGUGUAGCAGUGAAAUGCGUAGAUAUGCGGAGGAACACCGAUGGCGAAGGCAAUCCCCUGGGCCUGUACUGACGCUCAUGCACGAAAGCGUGGGGAGCAAACAGGAUUAGAUACCCUGGUAGUCCACGCCCUAAACGAUGUCAACUGGUUGCUGGACGGCUUGCUGUUCAGUAACGAAGCUAACGCGUGAAGUUGACCGCCUGGGGAGUACGGCCGCAAGGUUG
This 370-nucleotide ribosomal RNA is filed under the name uncultured organism. Its description in RNAcentral is "bacterial SSU rRNA". It matches the Rfam family "Bacterial small subunit ribosomal RNA", at positions 526 to 896 of the family's 1533-position model. The record is from RNAcentral.